GAUGAAGAACGUAGCGAAAUGCGAUACGUAAUGUGAAUUGCAGAAUUCAGUGAAUCAUCGAAUCUUUGAACGCAUAUUGCGCUCUCUGGUAUUCCGGAGAGCAUGCUUGUUUGAGUAUCAGUAAACACCUCAACUUCCAUAUCUUUUUUGAAAUGGGAGUUGGACUUGAGUGAUCCCAACGCUUUUCCUCACCGAAAAGUGGCGGGUUACUUGAAAUGCAGGUGCAGCUGGACUUUUCUCUGAGCUAUAAGCAUAUCUAUUUAGUCUGCCUAAAAAACAGAUUAUUACCUUUGCUGCAGCUAUCAUAAAGGAGAUUAGUUCUUGUGCUGACUGAUGCAGGAUUCACAAAGACAGGCUUCGGCCGACUUUGUAAACUCGAUCUCAAAUCAAGUAAGACUACCCGCUGAACUUAAGCAUAUCAAUAAGCGGAGGA
RNAcentral lists this unclassified non-coding RNA (433 nucleotides) under soil metagenome. Its description in RNAcentral is "partial contains 5.8S ribosomal RNA, internal transcribed spacer 2, and large subunit ribosomal RNA". The stretch from base 1 to 120 matches the Rfam family "5.8S ribosomal RNA", at positions 35 to 154 of the family's 154-position model. The record is from RNAcentral.